Molecule: ribosomal RNA, 492 nt
Filed under: uncultured bacterium
Lineage: Bacteria
Description: partial 16S ribosomal RNA
Rfam family: Bacterial small subunit ribosomal RNA
Source: RNAcentral
AGUGAACGCUGGCGGUAGGCCUAACACAUGCAAGUCGAACGGCAGCACAGUAAGAGCUUGCUCUUACGGGUGGCGAGUGGCGGACGGGUGAGGAAUACAUCGGAAUCUACUUUUUCGUGGGGGAUAACGUAGGGAAACUUACGCUAAUACCGCAUACGACCUACGGGUGAAAGCAGGAGAGCUUCGGACCUUGCGCGAGUGAAUGAGCCGAUGUCGGAUGAGCUAGUUGGCGGGGUAAAGGCCCACCAAGGCGACGAUCCGUAGCUGGUCUGAGAGGAUGAUCAGCCACACUGGAACUGAGACACGGUCCAGACUCUUACGGGAGGCAGCAGUGGGGAAUAUUGGACAAUGGGCGCAAGCCUGAUCAAGCCAUACCGCGUGGGUGAAGAAGGCCUUCGGGUUGUAAAGCCCUUUUGUUGGGAAAGAAAAGCAGCAGGUUAAUACCCCGCUGUUCUGACGGUACCGAAAGAAUAAGCACCGGCUAACUUCGUG